GUGGGGAAUCUUGGACAAUGGGGGCAACCCUGAUCCAGCGACGCCGCGUGGGUGACGAAGGCCUUCGGGUUGUAAAGCCCUUUUCCCGGGGACGAUGAUGACGGUACCCGGGGAAUCAGCACCGGCUAACUCCGUGCCAGCAGCCGCGGUAAGACGGAGGGUGCUAGCGUUGUUCGGAAUUACUGGGCGUAAAGGGCGCGUAGGCGGCUCUUUCAGUCGGGUGUGAAAGCCCGGGGCUCAACCCCGGAACGGCACCCGAGACGGGAGGGCUGGAGACCGGGAGAGGAGGGUGGAAUAGCCAGUGUAGAGGUGAAAUUCGUAGAUAUUGGCUGGAACACCGGUGGCGAAAGCGGCUCUCUGGCCCGGUUCUGACGCUGAGGCGCGAAAGCGUGGGGAGCAAACAGGAUUAGAAACCCCAGUAGUCC
RNAcentral lists this ribosomal RNA (425 nucleotides) under uncultured bacterium. RNAcentral describes it as "bacterial SSU rRNA". It matches the Rfam family "Bacterial small subunit ribosomal RNA", at positions 354 to 796 of the family's 1533-position model. The record is from RNAcentral.